RNAcentral lists this long non-coding RNA (1781 nucleotides) under Triticum aestivum (bread wheat). RNAcentral's name for it is "long non-coding RNA (TAES_LNC008692)". Lineage: Eukaryota; Viridiplantae; Streptophyta; Magnoliopsida; Poales; Poaceae. The record is from RNAcentral.
UUUAGAGCAAAUAAACUGCAACUUUCUGGAAUAUAACAAUAAUAAAAGCACCACAGUAGCAACUAAAGGGUUUGAUUUCAGUCAAGGAAUAUAGCAUUACAUCAAUAGCAAAACAUGGUGAUAUUUGUGGAAAUAAAAUAACUCUAGGUGUUCUAUGAAUUCUGAAAGUCUGAAUCAACUCAUGUGCAACUUUUGACGAUGGUGCAAAUGGAGAGGCAUCACAAGAUUGGAUCCUUAUCCUGCUAUAUAACUGUAGUACAGUUAAAGCAAAUAAGCUAAGGAAUUGGACAGCAGGAUGAAGGUGCACCACACCAUCCAAUUCUGAAAAGGUGGCGGCUAAUGGUCUUCCUUGUUGAAUCCAUAAGGACUAUGCUUUUCUAUCCUUGAACUAAGCUGAAACUCGAGCUCUAAAAUCUGAACGAAAAAACUUGAUUUCUUGGAAGGAGGGUCACUGCUCCAAAUCGUGUUGCCUCGCCCGUACAUCACCGAAGCUGGGGCACACAUUGGAGCAGUGGCAUUUGCGACGCCCAGCAGCGGGGUCACAUCUCAUCCCCAUCAGCUCAAAUCAAAACAGAACGCAAAUUAGCCCAAACAGUUAGAAGACUUAUUUAAACCGCACAUGGUGCACUCAGACAUAAGAGAAGACCCAAGCAGAGCGAUCAAGCCAUGCAAUUCUAGCUAUUAAAAUACUAAUUAGUUAUUGUAUCUAGACGGACAGUCUUAUGUAAAACGUUUAGAUUUACGUAGUAGUUUGCAAGGAGCAUAUACAUACUAUUUUUCAAAUGGGGUGUAUACAAGUAUACAACUGAUACUACUUUAACUGAAAACAUCAGAGAGCAUGUUUUAAUUCAUUCAUGAUCUCUGCAUUUUAUUUAGAAACAAGCAUGCACCAAGAUACUCACAUAGAGAGCAGAAUCCUCUCUUUCACAGUACUAUUGUUUCAUCUAGCUCUAACAUAUCCUCUCUUUCUCCCUUUUAAUAAGUAGUAUAGUUGAUGCUAUACAGACUUAAGAAGUAAGUAGUUGAUGACAGAUACAAAUCGAUGACACUGUAGUAUGUACCUCAGGUCAGACGAAGUUUCGGCGGAUAGUAGAGUAUAUGCAGACAGAUUUCCGGCGAAGUCGGCGGUGUACAGCCACGACGCUGUCGGAAACUUGAGGCGUGAAGAUGAGCCAAAUAACUGCAGAUUAUUCCAGAGAGUUAGAACACGAAAAACUAUUUGACCUUGCAAUAGAAUAGAAAGGGUUCGGCGAUGUGCACAUCUCUCUCUGCUCUCUCUCUCUCUCUCUCUCUCUCUUUCUCUCUCUCUCUCUACCUCACCUCUUUUUUCACCACAAGUUACAAAACCAAAUAACUGAAUUUGUUGGCCCUGUACAUCAUUUAAAGAUUAAAAGAAACUCAAAUCCAAGAUCAGUUGUCGUUCAUGACCUCUGCAUUUUAUACAGAAACAAGAAUGCACCAAGAUACUCACAUAGAAAGCAGAAUCCUCUGUUUCACAGGGCUAUUGUUUCAUCUAUCUCUAACAUAUCAUCUAUUUCUCCCUUUUAAUAAGUAGUAUAGUUGACGACAUACAUACUUAAGAAGUAAGUAGUUGAUGAAAGAUACAAAUUGAUGACACUGUAGUAUGUACCUCAGGUCAGACAAAGUUUCGGCGGACAGUAGAGUAUGUGCAGAAGGAUUUCCGGCGAAGUCGACGGUGUACAGCCACGGCGCUGUUGGAAACUUGAGGCGCGACGAUGAACCAAAUAACUGCAGACUAUCCCAAAGAGUUAGAACACGAA